RNAcentral lists this unclassified non-coding RNA (240 nucleotides) under soil metagenome. RNAcentral describes it as "partial contains 5.8S ribosomal RNA, internal transcribed spacer 2, and large subunit ribosomal RNA". The record is from RNAcentral.
AACAUCGCGCACCUGCGGGAACCUGCGGAAGGAUCAUUAUAGAAUUGUUCGAAUCCAUACGGACACAUUCUUAAAAUCCGUAUCCACACCGGCAGGGCUCUUUUCGGGCCUUUGCCGUAGGGUUCCUUCUUUUUUCUUUCUUCUCUGUUAGAGUGGAGAGAGGGGAAGGUUCCUGUCUGACCCUUGCCUAUAAUUUUUAUAUUGUCUGAACUUUUUAUUUUAUUAUAAAAUAAAAACAAC